CUAGACCUGAAAUCAGUCGAGGAUACCCGCUGAAUUUAAGCAUAUUAUUAAGCGGAGGAAAAGAAAAUAACUAUGAUUCCCUCAGUAACGGCGAGUGAAGAGGGAGGUGCUCAAAGUGAAAAUCGUGGUACCUCUUAUGGUACCGCGAGUUGUAGCCUCUAGAGGCGUUACCAGUGGAGGGGCAGGUCUAAGUUUCUGGAC
RNAcentral lists this ribosomal RNA (201 nucleotides) under Eimeria zuernii. Its description in RNAcentral is "partial 28S rRNA". It matches the Rfam family "Eukaryotic large subunit ribosomal RNA", at positions 1 to 195 of the family's 3401-position model. The record is from RNAcentral. Lineage: Eukaryota; Apicomplexa; Conoidasida; Eucoccidiorida; Eimeriidae.